GACGAACGCUGGCGGCGUGCCUAAUACAUGCAAGUCGAGCGAAACUUUGGGAGCUUGCUCUCAAAGUUUAGCGGCGGACGGGUGAGUAACACGUGGGCAACCUACCUUACAGAUGGGGAUAACUCCGGGAAACCGGGGCUAAUACCGAAUAAUCCAUUUCUUCGCAUGAGGAGAUGUUGAAAGACGGCGUCUAGCUGUCACUGUAAGAUGGGCCCGCGGCGCAUUAGUUAGUUGGUGGGGUAACGGCCUACCAAGACCACGAUGCGUAGCCGACCUGAGAGGGUGAUCGGCCACACUGGGACUGAGACACGGCCCAGACUCCUACGGGAGGCAGCAGUAGGGAAUCUUCCACAAUGGACGAAAGUCUGAUGGAGCAACGCCGCGUGAGUGAAGAAGGUUUUCGGAUCGUAAAGCUCUGUUGUAAGGGAAGAACAAGUACAGGAGUAACUGUCUGUACCUUGACGGUACCUUACCAGAAAGCCACGGCUAACUACGUGCCAGCAGCCGCAGUAAAAC
Molecule: ribosomal RNA, 516 nt
Filed under: uncultured bacterium
Lineage: Bacteria
Description: bacterial SSU rRNA
Rfam family: Bacterial small subunit ribosomal RNA
Source: RNAcentral